GAGAGGCAGCAUCAUCCUCAAUAACAUGGGUGCAGUUCUCAGGCUCUGGCUCUUGGUCUUAGGGCCUGUUGUCCCUCCAGAAGUGAUUGAGUCUCCUCCAGUUCUCUCCCUCCUGAGAGGACAGACAGCUCGGAUCAACUGUAGCCUGAUACCGGGAGAGGAGCGGGCUGAUUUGGGGCAAUAAUGUUGGUGUCGGGCAAGAGAAAUUUCUGACUUCAGAGGCAACAGAUCCAGGAACUUCAUGAAAAACAGCCCCCAGUGUUUCAGUGUCGAUCCUGUGCAGAAUGAAAAACAGUAGAGGUCCUUUGCAGGUCUGGGAACAAGAGGCUCUGAGCUGGAAUAAGGCUGACUGUAGUGAAAGAAAAUGCCUGCGCAUGGCUGUGAGCGUUGAGCUGAGGAUCCGCAGAGAAAACCCUUUCUGGAGGCUCAGGAUGUUGUAGAGAACCAUUGUGGUGGUUUGGUCCAAAUUGGGAUCGUCUGAACAUUGUUUGGAGUCCUUAGGGUAUGAGCCUGCCGCAGUGGGCAGGUACAGAGAAAGGAGCUGUGGCCGUAGUAACAGGUUUGUUUCAGAAUGUGGUGGAGAGGUCCAGCUGUAUUAACCCUUACUCCAGCAUCUGCAUCUCUUGCUAUCCGUGUGUCCGUGUCUAUGUCUGAGAGUUUUCUCAUCAUCUGGGAGCUGAUGCUGAAUGAUUCUGAUACUUACCAAUGUGUGGUUCUCAGAGAGAAACCUCGGCCCUGGAAAUACUUCCUGGGAAAUGGAACAACACAGAACGUCCAAGCGAAACCUGAAAUCUAUCUGACUGCGGAUCCCCAGAAUGAAGAUGUUGGGAUUCAGACACUGACUUGUUUGGCCGCGGGAUUCUCUCCGAGAGAUCUGAACAUUUCCUGGAUUGUUGAGGGGGAUGUCUCGUAUCAGGAAGAGCCGGGUUCGCUGACAGUAAACAGUGACAGCAGCUAUAACCUGACCUCCCGGCUGCGGAUUACAAACCCUCAGCGGGAGCAGGGAGCCACCGUCUCCUGUCUCAUUGAGCACAGGACAUUCACUGGGUUAGUGACAGCAAGCUUCAGCAACAGCACAGGAUAAUAUUUCCCUCAGCAGUGAAACUCUUCAUUAUGUAUCUGUUCAAGUCAAAAAUCCUUCAAAGAGUAAACAAAAACAGGAAUUGAAAAGACCAGAGCAGGACCAGGCAACGAAAUAUGCCAUUCUAAAGGUCAAAGAUAAAAAUAAUCAAUUCUACAAAGAUGGUGGUAGAUUACUCCACCGUCAACAUUUGCCCCACAUCAAACACAUGGCAAGCUGUUGACUACAAAGCAACCACAUAUGCUUCACUUAAGAAAUAAACAUUUCAUAUCAUUUUAUAUGAUUCGCUUUCUCAAGGGCAAUUAAGGGUGCCAACAAAUGCUGACCUUGCCAUCAACUCUCACAUCUUCCAAAAAUGUGACUUGGGCGAAGUAUGAUUUUGCAAUUGCAAAUGCAUAAACAAAUGUAACUUUAAAGUGGCUCCAGUAUCUCAAGUUGGAUGUUGACAUUAAUUGUUUCGUUAAACUAAAAUUAAAUCAACUAAUAAUUGCUUGAAUGAUUCAGGUAUACAGUGAUAUUUGCUAAUUUUUUUUUCAUUAAUGAAUA
Molecule: non-coding RNA, 1627 nt
Organism: Rhincodon typus (whale shark)
Lineage: Eukaryota; Metazoa; Chordata; Chondrichthyes; Orectolobiformes; Rhincodontidae
Source: the annotation of a RefSeq genome assembly